This 45-nucleotide non-coding RNA is filed under the name Schistosoma mattheei. The record is from RNAcentral. Lineage: Eukaryota; Metazoa; Platyhelminthes; Trematoda; Strigeidida; Schistosomatidae.
AUCCAGCUGAUGAGUCCCAAAUAGGAUGAAACUCACGUUCUUGAU